GUUUGAUGGCGACCGGCGCACGGGUGAGUAACACGUAUCCAACCUGCCGAUGACUCGGGGAUAGCCUUUCGAAAGAAAGAUUAAUACCCGAUGGCAUAGUUCUUCCGCAUGGUGGAACUAUUAAAGAAUUUCGGUCAUCGAUGGGGAUGCGUUCCAUUAGGUUGUUGGCGGGUAACGGCCCACCAAGCCUUCGAUGGAUAGGGGUUCUGAGAGGAAGGUCCCCCACAUUGGAACUGAGACACGGUCCAAACUCCUACGGGAGGCAGCAUG
Molecule: ribosomal RNA, 270 nt
Filed under: uncultured bacterium
Lineage: Bacteria
Description: partial 16S ribosomal RNA
Rfam family: Bacterial small subunit ribosomal RNA
Source: RNAcentral